UCGUUAAGAGUGUAUGGUGGAUGCCUUGACAUAAAUAAACGAUGAAGGACGUAGCAGCCUGCGAUAAGCCUCGGUAAGGUGGCAAGCAACCUUUGACCCGUGGAUUUCCGAAUGGGGGAACCUGCUCUGUUGAAGACAGAGCGUCCCAUGUCUGAACACAUAGGACAUGUGAGACGAUUACCCGGUGAAUUGAAACAUCUUAGUAGCCGGAGGAAAAGAAAACAAAUCCAUCUUUGAUGGACCAUUCCCUGAGUAGUGGCGAGCGAAAGGGGAUCAGCCCAAACCAUUUUAACCGCGAUAUUGAUUCACUUUUAGUGAUGAGGUAUCAGAAGGGUCUAGGCCCAUAUGUUUUAGUGGUGUUGUAAGAUUAUUACAUUCACAUCCUAGAAAAGUGAGCUAAGGUAUAGUAAAUAUAAUUUUUAAUCGAAUUGAGCUGGAAAGCUCAGCCAGAGAAGGUGAUAGCCCUGUAGCGUGAAAGAAAUUAUAGCCUUAGUGUGAUAGUUCUUGAGUACCGCGGGACUCGUGAAACCCCGUGGGAAUCUGGGACGACUAUGUCCCAAGGCUAAAUAUUAUUUAUGAUCGAUAGCGAAUAGUACCGUGAGGGAAAGGUGAAAAGCAUCCCGUAGAGGGAGGUGAAAUAGUACCUGAAACCAUAUACUUACAAGGAAUCGGAGCUCGAGUUUACUCGGGUGACGGUGUGCCUAUUGAAGAAUGAGCCAACGAGUUAGUUCUAUGUGGCUUGACUAAGUGCCGUUUGGCAUGGAGUCGUAGUGAAAGCGAGGGUUAAUAGCCCGUAUCCACUUAUUUUGUAGGGAUAUCUACUCUGAUAUUUCUGCAAGAUAAUGUGGAAUGUCGCAUGGACUAGACCCGAAACCGAGUGAUCUAGCCAUGGCCAGGUUGAAGUCUUGAGAAAUCAAGAUGGAGGACCGAACCCACAAGUCGUGCAAUACUUGGGGAUGAGCUGUGGUUAGCGGAGAAAUUCCAAUCGAACUCGGCGAUAGCUGGUUCUCCUCGAAAUAGCUUUAGGGCUAGCGUUAGAUGCUGACUACUGGGGGUAGAGCACUGAAUGAGGCUGGGGCCGCAAGGUACCCUCCUUAACCAAACUCCGAAUACCAGUAGGUGUAAUCUAGCAGUUAGACUAUGGGGGCUAAGCUCCAUUAGUCGAAAGGGAAACAGCCCAGACCGCAAUCUAAGGUCCCUAAAUAUAUACUAAGUGUAAAAGGUGGUGUCGCGACUGCGACAAUUAGGAGGUUGGCUUAGAAGCAGCCAUCCUUUAAAGAUAGCGUAAUAGCUCACUAAUCUAGUUGUCUCGCGCCGAAAAUUUAUCGGGGCUAAGUAUAUUACCGAAGAUGCGGAUUCACAGUUUACUGUGACUGGUAGAGGAGCGUUCUAUACGUGUUGAAGUCAGGUCGUGAGGCCUGGUGGAAUGUAUGGAAGUGAGAAUGUUGGCAUGAGUAGCAAAAAGGCGGGUGAGAACCCCGCCCACCGCAAACCUAAGGGUUCCUGGGCAACGCAAAUCGUCCCAGGGUUAGUCGGUCCUAAGAUGAGGCGUAUGUAGUGUGCGCGUAAUCGAUGGAUGAGCUGGUUAAUAUUCCAGCACUACUAUAAUUUUCCGAUGGGGGGACGCGGGUAUGAUUUUUAAGCGUGUUUAUGGUAUGCACGUUGCUUGCUAAGCCUUGUGAUAUAGGCAAAUCCGUAUCACACAAGAGGCGAGGUCGGCUGAAGAUGAAGCUUUUGUGGAUUCAACUUAAGAUGAUUACCUGUCAAGAAAAACCUCUAGGGUUAAGAUUAUAGUAACCGUACCGCAAACCGACACAGGUAGGUGAGGCGAGUAGCCUCAGGUGAACGAGAGAACCUUCGUUAAGGAACUAGGCAAAAUAGCGGCCGUAAUUUCGAGAUAAGGCCCGCCCCCGUUUAAUACCGGGGGCCACAGCUAAAGACGCUCUGGCGACUGUUUAUCAAAAACACAGCUCUCUGCUAACUCGAAAGAGGAUGUAUAGGGGGUGACGCCUGGCCAGUGUCCGAACGUUAAGGGGAGGGGUUAGACUUUUAGUCGAAGCCUCGAACUGAAGCGCGGAUGAACGCCGGCCGUAACUAUAACGGUCCUAAGGUACCGAAAUUCCUUGUCGGGUAAGUUCCGACCUGCAGGAAUGGCGUAACGACUGGAGCACUGUCUCAACGAAGGACUCGGCGAAAUUGCAAGACGAGUAAAGAUGCUCGUUAACCAUAGUCGGACGAAAAGACCCCGUGAAGCUUUACUAUAGCUUGACAUUGGGUUAUGACUAUGCAUGUUCAGUAUAGGUGGGAGCCGCAAGGCACCAGUGAGAUACCACCCUUGUAUAUUUGUAACCCUAACCUUAGACCUUGAAUCAGGUCAAGGGACAGUGUCUGGUGGGUAGUUUGUCUGGGGCGGAUGCCUCCUAAAGAGUAACGGAGGCGUUUACAAAGGUUGGCUAUCCCGGAAUGGAAACCCGGGAGAUAGUGUAAAGGCAUAAGCCAGCUUUACUGCAAGACCUACAAGUCGAGCAGUUGCGAAAGCAGAACUUAGUGAUCCGACCGUCCAAUAUAGGAUGGCGGAAGCUCAUCGGAUAAAAGUUACUCCGGGGAUAACAGGCUAGUCGCGCCCAAGCGUCCACAGCGACGGCGCGGUUCGGCACCUCGAUGUCGGCUCGUCUCAUCCUGGGGGUGAAG
The sequence is a ribosomal RNA, 2691 nucleotides long. It matches the Rfam family "Bacterial large subunit ribosomal RNA", at positions 1 to 2558 of the family's 2925-position model.